RNAcentral lists this non-coding RNA (630 nucleotides) under Acanthogammarus victorii. The record is from RNAcentral. Lineage: Eukaryota; Metazoa; Arthropoda; Malacostraca; Amphipoda; Acanthogammaridae.
CAUUUUUUUAUUUAGCGUGGGUUUGUGGUUUUCCUUAGCGGGUUGGACAUGCGGGCAUGUGUGUGUCGUAGUUGGGGGGCUUAGUAAGCCUGUUAGUACAAGAAGUAAAAUUGGUGCCAGCAUCUGCGGUUAUACUUAAUCUUAAAAACUUAUUUAGUUAGGCUAUUUUUCCAAAGGGUAGGUGGAGUUUGGUGAAAUAAGACUGAGUGUGAGUUUGCUAAGAAGGUUAGGUUAGUCGGGACCAGGAUUAGAGACCCUGUUACUGUUUGUAAGAUCUAAUGAUUAUGGUUAGAAGUUACAUGGUUUGGCGGCUUAGCUAUAUUAGAGGAGUUUGCUGUUAAUCGAUAGGGCUCGGUGGCUCUUAUCUAGUUUAUUUAUGUACACCGUCAUUUAGUUAAUUUUUUAAGAAAAAUUGAGGUAGUGAGUUAAGUAUGUUAGAUCAAGGUGCAGAGUGUCUAGAGACUAGUUAACUACAAUAUAGAUUAAUAAAAUAGGCACAGUAAGGUGAGUGGUAAAAAGUGGAUUUAAAAGUAAUUAUUUAUGUUUGAUUUUACUUGCUGAGUGUACAAAUUGCCCGUCAAUCUCUAAGAGAUAAGUCGAAACAAAGUAGAAGCACCGGAAGGUGCUUCU